UACAGAGGGUGCAAGCGUUAAUCGGAAUUACUGGGCGUAAAGCGCGCGUAGGUGGUUUGUUAAGUUGGAUGUGAAAUCCCCGGGCUCAACCUGGGAACUGCAUUCAAAACUGACAAGCUAGAGUAUGGUAGAGGGUGGUGGAAUUUCCUGUGUAGCGGUGAAAUGCGUAGAUAUAGGAAGGAACACCAGUGGCGAAGGCGGCCACCUGGACUGAUACUGACACUGAGGUGCGAAAGCGUGGGGAGCAAACGGG
Molecule: ribosomal RNA, 253 nt
Filed under: uncultured bacterium
Lineage: Bacteria
Description: partial 16S ribosomal RNA
Rfam family: Bacterial small subunit ribosomal RNA
Source: RNAcentral